RNAcentral lists this transfer RNA (69 nucleotides) under Nasalis larvatus (proboscis monkey). RNAcentral's name for it is "tRNA-Glu". It matches the Rfam family "tRNA". From Rfam's summary of the family: Transfer RNA (tRNA) molecules are approximately 80 nucleotides in length. The record is from RNAcentral. Lineage: Eukaryota; Metazoa; Chordata; Mammalia; Primates; Cercopithecidae.
GUUUUUAUAGUUGAAAUACAACGAUGGUUUUUCAUAUCAUCGGUCAUGGUUGGAGCCCAUGUAGAAACG